Loxodonta africana (African savanna elephant) is the source of this 5079-nucleotide RNA transcript. It is a transcript of the gene named inducible T cell costimulator ligand, with no coding region annotated. The transcript has 8 exons. The record is from RefSeq and is a predicted model, not a curated record. NCBI's taxonomy places the organism in Eukaryota, Metazoa, Chordata, Mammalia, Proboscidea, Elephantidae.
GCGCUGCUGUCCCGGAGCUUCAGAGCCCAGACGCGCGGCGGCGGGACAGCUGGAGCUCGGCUCCCCCGUACAGCCGGAGCUCGGCUCCCCAGUACAGCCGGAGCUCGGCUCCCCAGUACAGCUGGAGCUCGGCUCCCCAGUACGAGUCUCCGCGAUCAGAGGUCUCCCGCAGCCAGGGGUCUCCAGCGGCCGGAGGUCCCCCAGGGUUAGAAGUCUCCCGUGGCCUGAGGUCUGCCGCGGCCCGAGGUCUCCGUGCCCACUGGGCCGCCCCACCAUGCGGCUGAGAAGACCUGGACUGCUCUUGCUGCUGUUCGUUGGCCUGCAAGCUGAUAUUCAAAAGAAAGAAGUCCAAGGGAUCGUGGGUAGCAGUGUUGAACUCAGCUGCAUUUACCCUGGCGGAAGCAGUUUUGAUUUAAAUGACUUUUUUAUUUAUUGGCAAACCAAUGAGCCACAGACUGUGGUAGCCUACCUCUCUGAGAAUAGCUCCUGGCGCCACGAAGAUAACCGCUACCAGCACCGGGCCCAGCUGUCACUGGACAGCAUGAAGCGGGGCAACUUCUCUCUGCAUUUAUACAACAUUACCCCCCAAGAUGAGCAGACGUAUCAGUGCCUUGUGUUCAGCAAGCCCCAGGAAUUAAAAAAAGUUUGGGAAGUUGAUGUCAUACUGCACGUGGCAGCCAACUACAGCAUGCCCAUCGUCAGCACCCCCAUCCGCCCCUCCCAGGACGAGGAGCUCACCUUCACAUGCAGGUCCACAAAUGGCUACCCAAGACCCAACGUGUACUGGAUCAACCAGACGGACAACAGCCUGCUGGACAAGGCGCUACAGAACAGCACGGUCUCCAUGAAUGAACAAGGCUUGUAUGACGUGGUCAGCACCCUGAGGGUCCAGUGGGCCCCCAACGUGAAUGUCCAGUGCUGCAUCGAGAACGUGAUACUGCACCAAAACCUGACCGUCAGCAGCCACCCAGAACCUUCCUCUGGAACCAAUGACAAGAUCACAGAUAAUCCAGCCACGCCCCGGGAGAAAAAUAUGGCCGUUUUUAUCGUCUUUGGCAUCCUGGGCGUGAUGGCGGUCGUGGUGACCAUCUGGCUUUAUAAGAACAGAUGUUCUCGUGGAAGCUACACAGCAUUCACGUUCACUAGGAUUGGCAACUUGAAAUGCUCCAAGGAACUGGAUUUGAAGUGAGACCCUAUGUUCAGACGUGCUCACGUCAAAAGGUGCCCAGGGUGCCCAGCCGGAGCUUGAACUCAUUGGUGAGCAUGCAGAGAGCCAUGUUUGACAGGAAUGUCCUCCGGACGUUGGGACGUCGGGGAGAUGCCCAGGCCAGACUUCACACGGCAGCUAGAGAAAGUGUCCAUUUGUGAAAUGCGGGGCAGUGACUCAGACAGGCUUGCCCCCAGCUGCAUCACUUACAAGGACAAGGAGCGUCCCCAGCCUGCAUGGACAUGCAGGGCCUCCCUCAGCAGGACCACGACCAGGCCUAGAAGGAUGUACAGGUGCCGCUACUGACUCUGAGUGAGGCCCUUUUGGAAGGGUCAGCAGGCCACAGCAGGAGUGUCCCCAAGUGGGCAAGCUUGCUGCCUUCGAGGCCAAAUGUGGAAUGAGACAGGGCCUCAUGACCAGCUGCUCCACCAUCCCGGAACACGUGUGACCCUGAGACCUACACCGGGGACUGGUACCUCUGUUGGGACAUGGCUUCACAGCUGGAAGAAGGGAGCUGGGUUUGCAAAAAAGAGCAGGGCGCCCCACUCCCCGACGCCUCUGGGGAAGUGGAGGCUGUGCUGGGCGGGGCCAAGCAGGGUUUGCAGGAGACACAGGCCGUGGGGGUCUGAGCAUUUCUGCCUAUAAGCUCCCACCAUAUUCUCCACCCUGAAGCUACGGAGUCUGUUGUGUCUGUGUGCGUGUGUAUCUGUACAUGUGUGUGUAUGUGUGUCUACAGGUGGCUUGUUUUCACGGUCUGUUACACCCAUGUGUCUGUGCAUGUGUGUGUCUCCAUGUGAGGGGUGUGCGUGUGUCUGCACACACGUGUCUUGUAUGAUCCGUAUGUACGUAUGCACAUGUGUGUGUCUAAUUCAGUAAAUGACACCUGGUGAAGAACCCCUUGUAGACUCACUGGACAUUAUUUUCCUUUGAGACACUUACUGGGAAGUACUGGGAAGAAAACCUGGCCUCAUUCAUUUUGGUCAAAAGCAGUGGGAUUUUGUGAGGGGAAGGUUGGCUUCAGGGGAGGCGCCCAGUGAGACACAGUGCUUUCCAGGGCUAGGCUCUGCAGCCAGGAAGGGACGUGCACCCCAGAGACCACACAAAAUAACCCAUGAGGGACUGGCCACACGCAUUUCCAGGGACGUGGGUUUGAGACGUGACCUUGGCAGUGCCCCAGAGCGGGCGUUCCCCAUGGCGGGGGUGUGAGUUCCUGUCAACCAUGGAGUCUUGUCAGAUCCUGGCAGGCACUGUUGAUCACUCGUCCCCACUGCCUCUCUGCAUUAAUCACCCACAGCUGCCCCACCCCACCCCAGCAUCCCACCCAGCCCCCAUGACCACUCCUGCCCUCCACGCCUGUAAGAAAGACCUCCAGCUCCAAUGUCAGGUUUCUCGGAGCCCGGAGGCCCCUCAGGUGCCAGAAGCUGGGCAGAGGCCCAGAUCCACACAGGGGCCCUGACCUCCCGGGGAGGUUUCCAUGUUGUUGCUCAGAUGUCUUAGGGAGAAAGUUCUGGAAAGGAGGCCAGCCAGGUAACCCAGGUAUGCACACCACCCAGGGAGGUCUGGCCUCCCUGUCAGGAUGCUGUGUGCACUUGGAGUUGUGGGCAAAUGCCCUCCUUCGCCUUUCUGCUCAGAUUCUUCUGGUGGCCCUAGAGCUCAGUUAGGGGUGUCGUUACACCCGUGGUCAGUCAGUACAAUGGUCUCAGGAAGCCUGCGCUCCUCAGGCCCCAGCGUGGACCAGAACUGAGAAGUGAGGUCCGUGGUUGAGAGGUCAUUCCGUAACUUGUUAUAAGAGGUGGUUUUUUUUGUUUAUUUUUGAACCACAAAAUUCUCAUGCUGGCUUUUAAACACACGUGACAAGGGGUCCCCACAGAAGCUUUAACUGGGAGAUGCAUGUUGUUCCAGAAAGAACAAUGGUUGUUCAUUAGCAUCUGGGGCAGAGAGGCAGGAGAGGCUGCUGGGCCAGAUGGAAAGGCAAUGUGGUGCCUGCCAAGUGAUCAGGGAGCUGACUCUGGGCAGACUCUCUGGGACCUGCGCCUGCCCAGGAGUCCCCCAGCUCCCGGGACCCUGGGUCAUGGCACCCGCCUUCAGACUUAGACUCUGUCUGCCUGGGCCUCAGCGGACUGCAGGGCUGGGGCCCUCAUACAGACCAGAUGGCAGCAGACAGCAGGAAGAUGGAGUCAGGUUCUGGCUUUCCUGCCAAACCAUUGCUGUUCAUCAGGGAAACGGGGCAAGGGUCUCCAGCCUAGCUCUGUCCGGAUACACCGGGGCUGCAGAAGCCCUUCGCCAAGCUGGGGGCCAGGGGCUCCUGCUUCUACCCUGCCCCCCUGCCCAGCUCAGGCUGUCACUGCAGCUUUUGGUGGGUUCCACCCAGAUCUGAGCUCAAGAGGACCUCUGCUCUCUAGUGGCUGGUUGCUGAGUUAUCACCCCAGUACUGGUCCUGGGCGGGGGUGCUUGGUCUGACAGCUCUACCUGGCUACAGAGCAGGAGAACGUUCCAGAAGGCAAGCUGCUCCAGUGGGCGCAUUGCUGCCGUGCUCUGUUUAAGACUGGGGACAUCGGGCAGUGUCUGGAGACAUUUUUGGUUGUCAGACUGGAGGUAGCUACUGGGAUCUAGCGGGUGGAGGCCAGGGUUGCUGCUCACCAUCCUACAGUGCACAGGACACCCCUUGCCACAAAGAAGGAUCUGGGCCCAAGUGUCAGCAGUGCAUGGGUUGAGAAUCCUGCUCUCGGAGGUCACACCCUGUUCAAGGGCAGGGCUAUACUGGGGCUCAGGGGAACACUGCCAGUCCUCAGGCCUCCGUUCAGCAGCUGACUGAGCUCACUGUGGGCUGGGAGAGGGUGACACCUUCUAACAGGUCCAGGCCCAGGUACUAUACUAGGUCAGGUGUUGGCAGCCUUCCUCCCACCCAGUCCAGCCCCGAAGGGCCAGGCACCAGGGUUCCCCAUCUCACAGUGCUCAGAGCUGGGCAGGUGGGCUGGGCACCCUGUGUCCUUUGGAAUCACUGGUCUCCGUGGAGGUAUCUGUGGCUUCUCACAUGGUAGGUGUGCAAGAAACUACCAUCAAGUGAGGUUCAAGUUCAGGCUAGCGUCUAGUCUCCUAGUGCAGCUGUAAUAGAAAUACUACAAGCGAGUGGCUUUGAAGAACAGGAAUGUCUCACAGUUCAGGGGGCCAGAAGUCUGAAUUUAGAGAAAGGUCUUUCCUUGGGGUUCCUGGCUUUUAUAGGUGCAUCUGCCAUGUGUCUGUCUUCACACAGCGUCUUCCCUUGUGUGUGUCUUUGUCUAAUCUGCUCUUUUUAAGACACAGAAGUGAUUAGGUUUGGGACCCACCCCACUCUGGUGUGACCACAUUAAUAUAAAAGAAAAACCUUUUUUCCAAACAAGAUCCACUUGGCGAACAGGAUCCAGGACUUUUAUACAUAUUUUGGGGGGGACACAACUCGAUCCACAACAGCUAGGGUGUGGGAUGGUUCAUCACUAGGGGAGGGGGGGCAAGUAGGAGACAGCUAAGUGCAUCAUCCAUCAUCCUGUGUACAUCGCUUCUUUUCACGCCUCAGUUGACCCUCCUGUAAAAGGUUCUGUCUGCUGGCUCUUGCAGCUUGGACACUCCACAACUGGGGAGGGCAAUGUGGCUUUGGGAUGGCCGUCGGGGCUGGGGUGCCUCUAGAAAAGGCAACCACUCUACAGCAGCCUGGCCAUGGCAUGGUGCCAGGAUGCAAUUGGCACUACCGUUUCCGGUCCUCCCUCAGGCCCUGCUCCCUGGAGGCACACUGAGCCCGGCUCUCAAACCCUUCAGCAGCUCAUCUUUUAUUCAUCUCCCUGCCAGCCAGCUUUUCUGAAAACAGGCACCCUUAAUAAAAACCCAAAACCAAACCC